GCAGAGGUUCCGCCCCCCCCAGCUGGCGCCCCACAAACAGCAGAGCCGCAGCGAUGCUGCAGUGGGUGCGGCUCUGGGGGGUGCAACGCGACCCAUGGGUGCGCCCCACUGAUGCGCCCCAUAUAUGCGCCCCAUAGAUGCGCCCCACAGAUUCACCCCACAGAUUCGCCCCACAGAUUCACCCCACAGAUUCACCCCACAGAUUCGCCCCACAGAUUCGCCCCACGGCUUCCCGGCCGCAGCGCGGCUCACCGGGGCAGCGGUACAACUUCCUGGCCUGUGCGAUGUCGCCUUUGCUGAGCCGCGCGCGCUGCCCGAUGGGCGGCCGGACGCCGUUCACGUCGUAUUUGGGCAGGAUGGUGUCCAGGAAAAUCCCCCUGCGGGCAGCGCGGCGCCGUGGGGCGCGGAUCAGCACCGCCACACAGGGGGCGCCAUGGGGCACAGCGGGGUGCUGGGGUGCUAUGGGAUGCUAUGGGGCGCUAUGGGGCACAGUGCGGUGCUAUGGGGUGCUAUGGGGCGCUAUGGGGCGCUAUGGGGUGCUAUGGGGCGCUAUGGGGCACAGUGCGGUGCUAUGGGG
RNAcentral lists this long non-coding RNA (577 nucleotides) under Phasianus colchicus (ring-necked pheasant). Its description in RNAcentral is "lncRNA (ENSPCLG00000013362.1)". The record is from RNAcentral. Lineage: Eukaryota; Metazoa; Chordata; Aves; Galliformes; Phasianidae.